AACGGCCAUACCAUGCUGAAUAUACCGGUUCUCGUUAGAUCACCGAAGUCAAGCAUCAUUGGGCGCGGUCAGUAAUUGGGUGGGUGACUACCUGGGAACACCGCGUGCCGUU
Molecule: ribosomal RNA, 112 nt
Filed under: Caerostris darwini
Lineage: Eukaryota; Metazoa; Arthropoda; Arachnida; Araneae; Araneidae
Source: RNAcentral